Long non-coding RNA from Xenopus tropicalis (tropical clawed frog), 207 nucleotides. RefSeq lists it as uncharacterized. The transcript is spliced from 3 exons. NCBI's taxonomy places the organism in Eukaryota, Metazoa, Chordata, Amphibia, Anura, Pipidae. The record is from RefSeq and is a predicted model, not a curated record.
GGGGAACUGCCUGCAUGCAGUAAGGAGAGAGCCGGACACAUUUAGAGUACAAACCACAGCAGGCACUAAAUUCUUCGAAUCCCUGACUGAUGCUUGCAACUGGCUGGACUCACUGGGAUGCUUGACUGUAUGCAAUACUUAUACACCAAGAGAACAAUUCCUGAGAAGUUUGACAAGGUAUGGGCUCUUGUCCAACCCCCUAAACCC